RNAcentral lists this ribosomal RNA (440 nucleotides) under uncultured bacterium. RNAcentral's name for it is "partial 16S ribosomal RNA". It matches the Rfam family "Bacterial small subunit ribosomal RNA", at positions 338 to 795 of the family's 1533-position model. The record is from RNAcentral.
CCUACGGGAGGCAGCAGUGGGGAAUAUUGCACAAUGGGGGAAACCCUGAUGCAGCGACGCCGCGUGAGUGAAGAAGUAUUUCGGUAUGUAAAGCUCUAUCAGCAGGGAAGAAAAUGACGGUACCUGAUUAAGAAGCCCCGGCUAACUACGUGCCAGCAGCCGCGGUAAUACGUAGGGGGCAAGCGUUAUCCGGAUUUACUGGGGGUAAAGGGAGCGUAGACGGGAGCACAAGUCUGGAGUGAAAGGCCGGGGCUUAACCCCGGAACUGCUUUGGAAACUGUGCAGCUAGAGUGGAGGAGAGGUAAGGGGAAUGCUUAGUGUAGCGGUGAAAUGCGUAGAUAUUAGGAGGAACACCAGUGGCGAAGGUGGCUUACUGGACGGUACCUGACGUUGAGGCUCGAAAGCGUGGGGAGCGAACAGGAUUAGAUACCCCUGUAGUC